RNAcentral lists this ribosomal RNA (254 nucleotides) under uncultured bacterium. RNAcentral describes it as "partial 16S ribosomal RNA". It matches the Rfam family "Bacterial small subunit ribosomal RNA", at positions 524 to 776 of the family's 1533-position model. The record is from RNAcentral.
UACGUAGGGUGCAAGCGUUAAUCGGAAUUACUGGGCGUAAAGCGUGCGCAGGCGGUUUUGUAAGUCUGUCGUGAAAUCCCCGGGCUCAACCUGGGAAUGGCGAUGGAGACUGCAAGGCUAGAGUUUGGCAGAGGGGGGUAGAAUUCCACGUGUAGCAGUGAGAUGCGUAGAUAUGUGGAGGAACACCGAUGGCGAAGGCAGCCCCCUGGGUCAAGACUGACGCUCAUGCACGAAAAGCGUGGGGAGCAAACAGG